GUGGGGAAUAUUGCGCAAUGGGCGAAAGCCUGACGCAGCGACGCCGCGUGAGGGAUGAAGGUUUUCGGAUCGUAAACCUCUGUCAGAAGGGAAGAAACUACGUUGUGCUAAUCAGCAGCGUACUGACGGUACCUUCAAAGGAAGCACCGGCUAACUCCGUGCCAGCAGCCGCGGUGAUACGGAGGGUGCAAGCGUUAAUCGGAAUUACUGGGCGUAAAGCGCACGUAGGCUGUAGUGUAAGUCAGGGGUGAAAUCCCACGGCUCAACCGUGGAACUGCCUUUGAUACUGCACAACUUGAAUCCGGGAGGGGGUGGCGGAAUUCCAGGUGUAGGAGUGAAAUCCGUAGAUAUCUGGAGGAACAUCAGUGGCGAAGGCGGCCACCUGGACCGGUAUUGACGCUGAGGUGCGAAAGCGUGGGGAGCAAACAGGAUUAGAAACCCGGGUAGUCC
This 450-nucleotide ribosomal RNA is filed under the name uncultured bacterium. RNAcentral's name for it is "partial 16S ribosomal RNA". It matches the Rfam family "Bacterial small subunit ribosomal RNA", at positions 354 to 796 of the family's 1533-position model. The record is from RNAcentral.